Molecule: long non-coding RNA, 1143 nt
Filed under: Homarus americanus (American lobster)
Lineage: Eukaryota; Metazoa; Arthropoda; Malacostraca; Decapoda; Nephropidae
Description: uncharacterized LOC121865350, transcript variant X2
Source: RNAcentral
UGGAAUGUUGACAUCACUGCUCCGACUCGCUGACGACUGCUGAGCCUCAUCUUCAAUUAAUACUCUCUUCUGUUGUAAUUUAAGCAUGCAGACCUACAGACAACACCUUGAUGACUUGUAAGAAAUAAGGAUGUUAAGUCAGCUUGAUGAUAAGAGGAAGCGAGGAUUUCAUGUAAGACGAGAUCCUUUUCAGCAUUAUAAUGAAGGAGAAUUUAAUUAGCGCUACAGAGUAUCUAAGAACAGCACCAUGGAGCUGCUUACAAAAAUCAGACAUCAUCUACUAAUGUCACUGAGCCAUAGAGGCAUUCCAAUUCCUCCAGUUUUACAGCUACUGGUUGCCAUGAGAUACAAGGCUACAGGAAAUUUUCAAAUAACUCUGGGAGACUGUUCAGACAUGUCUCAACCAAGUGUUAGCAAAUGUGUCCGGAAUGUUUCUGCUUCUAUUGCCACUCUUGCACCAGGUUAUAUUAAAUUCCCCUUUCCUGACCGAGAGAAGAUGAUUUCCUGCAGGAAUUUGCCUCUAUUGCUGGAAUGCCAGGUGUGAUAGGCUGCAUAGAUGGGACUCACAUUCCAAUCAAGAGCCCUUGAAAGUCAAAUCCUGAACUCCACAGGAGUUGAAAGAAUUUCUUCUCCAUUAAUGUCAUGGGCGUAUGUGAUGCACACAUGAAAUUUACAAACCUUGUCGUAAACUGGCCGGGCAGUACUCAUGACUCCCGCAUAUUCACAACGUCAAGACUUUGUGAAAGUCUGCAGGUCGGUGAACAUCGAGGCUUUAUCCUUGGUGAUAGUGGAUAUGCGUUGCGUCCAUACUUACUCACUCCAAUCCAUAAUCAAGCUAAUGAAAAGCAGAGGAAAUAUAACAGAUCUCAUUUUAAAACAAGAACUACAAUUGAAAGGACAUUUGGGGUGUGGAAGAGGAGAUUUGCUGUACUGCAGCAUGUAAGAGCAAAGCUGUCUACUACUAAAAAUAUUAUAAUUGCAUGUGCAGUUCUCCAUAUUAUGGCUUUGAUUUCUGGACUUCCACUGGACAUAAAAGACAUGCAUUUAGAAGACCCUGACGACCCUGAAGAAAUGAUCAGAUAUGGAAAUUAUGAAGGUCAAGCAAGGAGGGAGUAUAUAGUGGAGCAUUUUUUUUUAAUUAAA